Molecule: ribosomal RNA, 501 nt
Filed under: uncultured bacterium
Lineage: Bacteria
Description: bacterial SSU rRNA
Rfam family: Bacterial small subunit ribosomal RNA
Source: RNAcentral
AAUGAACGUUGGCGGCGUGGAUUAGGCAUGCAAGUCGAGCGAGAAUUUGCGAUUGGAAGCUUCGGCCGAAGAAAGUGAAGGAAAGCGGCAAACGGCGUAGUAAGGCGUAGGUACGUACCCUCGGGUCGGGAAUAGCCAUGGGAAACUGUGGGUAAUGCCCGAUAAUCUCUGCGGAGCAAAGGUGUGAUUCCGCCGGAGGAGCGGCUUACGUGAUAUUAGCUAGUUGGUGGGGUAAUGGCCUACCAAGGCAACGAUGUCUAGGGGGUGUGAGAGCAUGGCCCCCACGACCGGAACUGAGACACUGUCCGGACACCUACGGGUGGCUGCAGUCGAGAAUCUUCCGCAAUGGGCGAAAGCCUGACGGAGCGACGCCGCGUGGUGGAUGAAGGCCCUUGGGUUGUAAACACCUGUCAGAGGGGAUGAAAUCAUGGUUGGCAAUCCUUCCAUGUUGACAGAGCCUCAGAGGAAGCACGGGCUAAGUACGUGCCAGCAGCCGUACGG